Molecule: ribosomal RNA, 376 nt
Filed under: uncultured bacterium
Lineage: Bacteria
Description: bacterial SSU rRNA
Rfam family: Bacterial small subunit ribosomal RNA
Source: RNAcentral
UACGUAGGAGGCGAGCGUUGUCCGGAAUCACUGGGUGUAAAGCGCGUGUAGGCGGCCUGCCAAGUCUGCUGUGAAAGCGCCUGGCUUAACCGGGCGAGGUCGGUGGAAACUGGCGGGCUGGAGGCCGGUAGAGGGGGGUGGAAUUCCCGGUGUAGUGGUGAAAUGCGUAGAGAUCGGGAGGAACACCAGUGGCGAAGGCGGCCCCCUGGGCCGUGCCUGACGCUGAGACGCGAAAGCGCGGGGAGCGAACGGGAUUAGAUACCCCGGUAGUCCGCUCAGUAAACGAUGCAUGCUAGGUGUGGGGGGUAUCGAGCCCCUCCGUGCCGUAGUUAACACAGUAAGCAUGCCACCUGGGGAGUACGGCCGCAAGGUUAAA